This 582-nucleotide long non-coding RNA is filed under the name Cricetulus griseus (Chinese hamster). Its description in RNAcentral is "lncRNA (ENSCGRG00015025313.2)". Lineage: Eukaryota; Metazoa; Chordata; Mammalia; Rodentia; Cricetidae. The record is from RNAcentral.
GGCCAAGAGCUGGAGCAAGCGCGAUCUGCCGGUGCCUUGGCGGUCUGGCGUGCAGACAGACGUUCUCGGGGACGUCUAGAUGGAGAAAGUGCCCGGCGCCGUUGCUCCUUGUGCGUGUGAACGGAGACGACCUCAGCCCGUGACGGUCUCAGUUUGCGGAGCGCUUCACUCGCGUGAAAGAAACCACGUACAGAGAAGCUGAUACCUCGGCCUGUCCUAAUGUCUGGAAGGGAGGUUUGCUGCAUGGAAAACCAAAGUCAGCAUUCUAGUUUCCACCUGAUCACCAACCGGAAGAUCUGGGCAAAGCUGCUCUUUCUGGGUCCAGUUGGCUCUUUUAGUGUGGGAGCAAACCUGUUUGCCAUGGACAGGGGGCGGUUUGGAGAAGCAAAGUGGACCUAUUGGAAGGGCAUUGCCAGAAACAGAGGGUCCAUAGAGGUUCGGCUGAAGCCCUUGCUACCUGGCUGGAGACCCUCAGUUUUAAUCAUAGUGGAUGCAGCUGAAACCUUUUGUGCUUCUCUUUGGGGCACCAUUCUUCUCAAGACUAGUAGGUAAGUUCUUACUGAAUUGGAUUUUGGUAUUUUG